This 422-nucleotide unclassified non-coding RNA is filed under the name Hevea brasiliensis (rubber tree). Lineage: Eukaryota; Viridiplantae; Streptophyta; Magnoliopsida; Malpighiales; Euphorbiaceae. The record is from RNAcentral.
AAAAAAAAAAAAAAAAAAAACCACUUGAACUAGAAGUGCCUUUUCAGUUGUUACUGCUUCUCUAAGUUCUAUAAAUUGCAGUCAUGAACUUAUUCAAGGACUAGUUUGUUGGAUUUUCUAUUCAGGUGAGACAAAUAUUUGAAAAAUAAGGACAGAAAUGAAAAAAGAAAAGAAAAGGAAAGAAAAAGAACCUGUUGCAACCUCAACCUGGCUAAGCGGAUCAAAACAUGGUUUAGGCCAAGAAUGAUUUUACCCAUUUGCAGCUCUCUCCAUGUUGCUAAAAUAAAAUUUGAUGAAAAGAGAUUUGUCAGAAACUAAAAAGGAAAAAAAAUUCUGUUCAAAUAACUUGGAUUAAAUUUUCCAGUUAAGCCAUAAAUGAUGUUUCUGUUUCUAAUAAGUCUAGCAACAAAUUGAAGAUUUGA